Molecule: ribosomal RNA, 500 nt
Filed under: uncultured bacterium
Lineage: Bacteria
Description: bacterial SSU rRNA
Rfam family: Bacterial small subunit ribosomal RNA
Source: RNAcentral
AUUGAACGCUGGCGGCAUGCCUUACACAUGCAAGUCGAACGGUAACAGCACUUCGGUGGCUGACGAGUGGCGGACGGGUGAGUAAUACAUCGGAACGUGCCCGAUCGUGGGGGAUAACUACUCGAAAGAGUGGCUAAUACCGCAUACGAUCUACGGAUGAAAGCGGGGGAUCGCAAGACCUCGCGCGGACGGAGCGGCCGAUGGCAGAUUAGGUAGUUGGUGGGAUAAAAGCUUACCAAGCCGACGAUCUGUAGCUGGUCUGAGAGGACGACCAGCCACACUGGGACUGAGACACGGCCCAGACUCCUACGGGAGGCAGCAGUGGGGAAUUUUGGACAAUGGGGGAAACCCUGAUCCAGCCAUGCCGCGUGCAGGAUGAAGGCCUUCGGGUUGUAAACUGCUUUUGUACGGAACGAAAGACUCUUUCUAAUACAGAGGGUCCAUGACGGUACCGUAAGAAUAAGCACCGGCUAACUACGUGCCAGCAGCCGCGGUAAGCU